AGCGUAGGCGGUUGGAUAAGCCCUCCGUGAAAUCUCCAGGCUUAACCUGGAAAGUGCAGAGGGGACUGUUCAGCUAGAGGAUGGGAGAGGAGCGCGGAAUUCCCGGUGUAGCGGUGAAAUGCGUAGAGAUCGGGAGGAAGGCCGGUGGCGAAGGCGGCGCUCUGGAACAUUUCUGACGCUGAGGCUCGAAAGCGUGGGGAGCAAACAGGAUUAGAUACCCUGGUAGUCCACGCCUUAAACGAUGGAUACUAAGUGUCGGCGGGUUACCGCCGGUGCCGCAGCUAACGCAGUAAGUAUCCCGCCUGGGAAGUACGGCCGCAAGGUUGAA
RNAcentral lists this ribosomal RNA (328 nucleotides) under uncultured Nitrospira sp. Its description in RNAcentral is "bacterial SSU rRNA". It matches the Rfam family "Bacterial small subunit ribosomal RNA", at positions 568 to 898 of the family's 1533-position model. The record is from RNAcentral. Lineage: Bacteria; Pseudomonadati; Nitrospirota; Nitrospiria; Nitrospirales; Nitrospiraceae.